UACGUAGGGGCCUAGCGUUGUCCGGAUUUAUUGGGCGUAAAGAGCUCGUAGGCGGUUUGGUGAGUCGGGUGUGAAAUCUCCACGCUCAACGUGGAGGGGCCACCCGAUACUGCCAUGACUAGAGUCCGGUAGGGGAGUGUGGAAUUCCCGGUGUAGCGGUGAAAUGCGCAGAUAUCGGGAGGAACACCAGUAGCGAAGGCGACUCUUUGGCCUGUAACUGACGCUGAGGCGCGAAAGCGUGGGGAGCAAACAGG
This 254-nucleotide ribosomal RNA is filed under the name uncultured bacterium. Its description in RNAcentral is "partial 16S ribosomal RNA". It matches the Rfam family "Bacterial small subunit ribosomal RNA", at positions 524 to 776 of the family's 1533-position model. The record is from RNAcentral.